Molecule: ribosomal RNA, 440 nt
Filed under: uncultured bacterium
Lineage: Bacteria
Description: partial 16S ribosomal RNA
Rfam family: Bacterial small subunit ribosomal RNA
Source: RNAcentral
CCUACGGGCGACAGCAGUGGGGGAUAUUGCACAAUGGGGGAAACCCUGAUGCAGCGACGCCGCGUGGGUGAAGAAGCGCCUCGGCGCGUAAAGCCCUGUCAGCAGGGAAGAAAAUUACGGUACCUGAAGAAGACGCCCCGGCUAACUACGUGCCAGCAGCCGCGGUAAUACGUAGGGGGCAAGCGUUAUCCGGAUUUACUGGGUGUAAAGGGGGCGCAGACGGCGAUGCAAGCCAGGAGUGAAAGCCCGGGGCCCAACCCCGGGACUGCUCUUGGAACUGCGGGGCUAGAGUGCAGGAGGGGCAGGCGGAAUUCCUGGUGUAGCGGUGAAAUGCGUAGAUAUCAGGAGGAACACCGGUGGCGAAGGCGGCCUGCUGGACUGCAACUGACGUUGAGGCCCGAAAGCGUGGGGAGCAAACAGGAUUAGAUACCCCUGUAGUC